UCUCUUCAAUAAUCGUUAACUGAAUCGAAUCGAGCGAAGAAGAGAGAAUAAGGAAAGCGCGGAAGGAUUUAUAGUUCAUAGAUACAAUUCCUUUGAUGCUAAGUAUCAGCUUUCCGAGCUAAAGGAAGAAGAAAGAAGAAGCUUGAGUUGUUGAGUUUAGCAAUGGGAGCCUUUAUCAACCUCGUUGAUUCUCCUAUGUUUCAGAAACAGAUACAUGCUUCAGAACAAUCAACAGAGGACCUGAAAGAACGUUGUCUACAAUUAUAUAAAGGGUGUAAGAAGUUUAUGGAUUCUUUGGGACAAUCAUGUAUUGGAGAUACCAUGUUUGCAGAUUCCGUAGAAGCAUUUGGUGGUGGCCAAGAUGACCCUAUUAGUGUUUCAAUAGGAGGUCCAGUAAUGUCCAAGUUCGUUUCUGCAAUUCGUGAACUUUCUACAUACAAGGAGUUCCUUCGCUCUCAAGUAGAACAUGUAUUGAUUGACCGACUCAAUCACUUUUUAUCCAUUGAUAUGCAAGAUGCCAAGGAUUCUCGGCGACGAUUUGACAAAGCAAUGCAUACUUAUGAUCAGGCUCGAGAGAAGUGUUCCUCUUUGAAAAAGAGCUCACGUGAUGAUGUUGUUGCCGAGCAAGAAGAGGAUCUUGUGAACUCAAAAUCAGCCUUUGACCGGAGUCGUUUCAAUCUAGUUAAUGCUCUCAUGAAUAUUGAAACAAAAAAGAAGUACGAGUUUUUGGAAUCUUUUAGUGCUAUUAUGGAUGCUCACCUUAGAUAUUUCAAGUUGGGGUAUGAAUUGUUAAGACAGUUGGAGCCCUUCAUUCAUCAGGUAUUGACAUAUGCUCAACAAUCAAAAGAACUUGCCAAUAUUGAACAAGACAACCUUGCAAGAAGAAUUCAGGAUUUCAGAACACAAGCAGAACUUGACCAAUUACAUGCUUUGAGUGAUGUAAAAAUUCCAACGAAUAUAGUUGGUCAUAAUGGGAUUGGCAUGACUUCCUACAAGAAUAUAGACGCAAUUAUACAGUCCACAGCUAAAGGAGAGGUCCAGACAAUCAAACAAGGUUACCUAUUGAAACGUUCUUCCAGUUUGAGGGCAGAUUGGAAAAGGCGGUUUUUUGUUCUUGAUGGUCACGGGACCUUAUUCUAUCACAUGCACACGGGUCCACCAUCACACAAUUCUGUGAGUUCAGUGGAACAUAAUAAUCGUGUAUUUGGACGAUUUCGGCACCGACAUCAAAGAACAUCAUCAUUUAGUGAAGAAAAAUCAGGACUUCAUACUGUGGAUCUUCAAACUGCAACCAUCAAAAUUGAUGCAGAAGAUGCAGAUCUACGCCUUUGCUUCAGAAUAAUUUCCCCAUCCAAAACAUACACCUUGCAAGCAGAAAAUGAAGCUGAUAGGAUUGAUUGGAUGAAUAAAAUUACAGGUGUCAUUGCGUCAUUGUUGAACUCUCAUCUGCAGCAGAUGAAUCCCAGGGAAACAGUUAAUGAGAAUACUAUCACAGCUUCUGAUGUUUCCGCCGAUAUGCUACAACUUGGGAUCCAUGAAAGAGCACCCAAUGACAAGAAAGGCAACCAGGUGGAAUGUGUUUCGAAGAUUCUCAGAGGAAUUUCUGGAAAUGAUGUUUGUGCAGAAUGUGACACCUCUGAUCCUGAAUGGGCGUCUCUUAAUCUUGGGGUUUUAAUAUGUAUUGAAUGCUCUGGUGCUCACCGAAAUCUUGGUGUUCAUAUCUCAAAGGUGAGGUCUAUAACAUUAGAUGUCAAGGUUUGGGAACCUACACUCUUGGAUCUGUUUCAGGCGUUGGGCAAUUCUUAUUGUAAUUCUGUAUGGGAGGAAUUGCUGUUUCAGAAUCAUGGGGGAGAGGAGGAAGAAAAUACUUCUUCAUCAAUCAGAAAACCAUCUCCAAAAAAUACCAUCCAACAAAAAGAGAAAUUCAUUCAUGCCAAGUAUGUAGAUAAACAGCUUAUUAAAAAAGAUGCAGCUGUAUCUAUAAUUUCUGAAGCUACCAGCAUAUGGGAAGCAGUAAAGAGAAAUGACUUGCGAGAAGUAUAUCGUCUUAUUGUUAAAUCGGAGCAAACUGUCGUUAACAUAGGAUAUGAUGAUAUUAUCGAUGCCAAUUUACUCCAUUUUGGGAAUACUGAAGAAGAUAAAAGCUCAUCAUCUUCUUUAAAAAUGAGAGAGUAUGAUCCAGGAUUAUGCAAAAAAACGAAGACUGAUAGUUUAUCUGAAAGUUGCCUUCAAGGUUGCUCAUUACUACAUCUGGCAUGUAGAUGUGGAAAUAAGAUGAUGGUGGAGCUAUUACUGCAAUUUGGUGCCCACAUGAACAGUUGUGACUAUCAUGGGAGAACUCCUUUACACCAUUGUAUUGGCAGAAGAGACAACAUGUUGGCAAAGUUCCUACUUAGAAGGGGUGCACAUUCAUCUAUCAAAGAUGGUGGGGGCUUUUCCGCUUUGGAAAGGGCAAUGGAAAUGGGAGCAAUCACAGAUGAAGAGCUUUUUAUCUUGCUCACUGGAUCUGAAUAGGCAGCAGCAGGUAGACACUAAUCUGGAUUAUACUUAAGGACUUGUUUGCUACAAUUGAAGAUUUGGCCCUCUGAACCCUAAUUGGGAGAUAAUUACUCACCAUGCUUCCCGGAGGGCUUAAAAUAAUGGAGCUUUUGACCCUGUUCAGUAGCAACAGGUAGCACGGGUGCAGGCUGUUGAAUGUCAAACAAACUAAUGAUUGGAAUACUUUUGUUAUCUUCGUAAUUAAUGCAUAUGGAAAUCAGUCUAAUGGUUUAUUUAUUGUUAGUUGAAAUGUAAAAUAUAUGUUUUCGUCGAGAUGUUAUUUCACUGGCCUUAAUUUGUUGUGUUUUUUAGAGGCAGCAAGUUUCAGAUAUGUUCCAAUUGAAACCGUCCUAUAUUUGGUUUGGGCAACAUAAAUGCAGAGAGUUUGCACUUUGAAUCCUUUAAUGCAGCAAUCUUUGUCUGGUUUUCUUGUC
This is an RNA transcript of Impatiens glandulifera, 2972 nucleotides long. It is a transcript of the gene named ADP-ribosylation factor GTPase-activating protein AGD2-like, with no coding region annotated. The record is from RefSeq and is a predicted model, not a curated record. The transcript has 20 exons. Lineage: Eukaryota; Viridiplantae; Streptophyta; Magnoliopsida; Ericales; Balsaminaceae.